GAUGUUUGCAGAGUCAUGGUUAAAUACAAGACUACUGUCGACCCUCGAGCAAGGUCCAGUGGCAUGGGUAAUUCAGUUGCACAGCCUUCGAUUCCACCUUCUCACUCUACACCACCGUUUGUGAGAUCUCCAAUGCCACUCAGUCCUCGCUACCAUCGAUGUCCAUUCUGACGUCCACAACGGCAGCUACUCCAUUCGAUCUAGAGGAAACAUCACCAACGUCAACUAUUGUCAUUGGUGCGUCAAACUCUGUAUCUUAGUCUAGUGGUCAAGGGCCAAGUGUAUGCUUGCCCACUCUUACCAAUCUGGACUGAUGUAUCCUUUUACAUCCUGUAAGAGAG
RNAcentral lists this long non-coding RNA (341 nucleotides) under Theobroma cacao (cacao). RNAcentral describes it as "long non-coding RNA (TCAC_LNC006417)". The record is from RNAcentral. Lineage: Eukaryota; Viridiplantae; Streptophyta; Magnoliopsida; Malvales; Malvaceae.